Molecule: long non-coding RNA, 757 nt
Filed under: Homo sapiens (human)
Lineage: Eukaryota; Metazoa; Chordata; Mammalia; Primates; Hominidae
Description: HSALNT0347255
Source: RNAcentral
UCUGCCUAUAGAGGCCUGGGGUCCCUUUGGCAGCACUUUUCUCAAGAAAGUAGAGUCGUGGACAACCAACUGCACAGGUUGGGAGGCUUUGAAGAACAAGCUGCCAUGAAUCCUGCAGCUACAAGGAAAUGAACUCUAUUAACUUGAGUGAGCUUAAAACUAGAUCCUUCCCCAGUCAAGCCUCCAGGUGAGAAUUCAAUCCUGGCUGGCACCUGGAUUGCAGCUUACAGAAGACCCAGCUAAGGCCAUGUCUGGACUUUAAAUCCACAGGAACUGCAAGAUGGUAUCAGAAGUGGGACCUGCAGUGGGGCAUCUAGCAACCCCCAGGAGCAUUGAGUGACCAGGCUUGGGACCCACCGGGCGCAGGGUGUCCAUUGUUCUCUCGAAGCAACUGAGAAUUGUGGAUAUUCUUCAUUAUUCCAUCAUCAUCUCAAACCUCUUGGGUAUAGUGUUUGACUACUACUGUGACCAUAAAUUCCAAUAAAACCUAGGAAAAAUGAAACCACUACAUUAACUGAAAGGGUCAGGUGGAGCCCACAUAUACCUGCAGUCCAUGCAUUGAUAGUGAAUAACACAUGAGAAUUGAAGCUCCAGUUAUGUAAAUCAAAAGAAGGCAAUAGGAGACAAACUUAUGCUUCCAGGAAAAUGGAGUAGACAUACUUCUCCCAAUUCUUUCUACUAAGUACAGCUAAAAACCUGGACAUUAAAUAUAAAAUAAAUGCAAAAAUACCCUGAAUGUUGGAGAGAAGAAAGCAGA